AGCGAACGCUGGCGGCAGGCCUAACACAUGCAAGUCGAGCGCCCCGCAAGGGGAGCGGCAGACGGGAGAGUAACACGUGGGAACGUACCCUUCAGUUCGGAACAACCCAGGGAAACUUGGGCUAAUACCGAAUACGUCCGUAAGGAGAAAGAUUUAUCGCUGAAGGAUCGGCCCGCGUCUGAUUAGCUAGUUGGUGAGGUAAUGGCUCACCAAGGCUACGAUCAGUAGCUGGUCUGAGAGGAUGAUCAGCCUCACUGGGACUGAGACACGGCCCAGACUCCUACGGGAGGCAGCAGUGGGGAAUAUUGGACAAUGGGCGCAAGCCUGAUCCAGCCAUACCGCGUGGGUGAAGAAGGCCUUCGGGUUGUAAAGCCCUUUUGUUGGGAAAGAAAUCCAGCCGGCUAAUACCUGGUUGGGAUGACGGUACCCAAAGAAUAAGCACCGGCUAACUUCGUGC
Molecule: ribosomal RNA, 457 nt
Filed under: uncultured bacterium
Lineage: Bacteria
Description: bacterial SSU rRNA
Rfam family: Bacterial small subunit ribosomal RNA
Source: RNAcentral